GCCGCGGUAGUAUAGUCCGGUCAAGCCUUGCGCCGAAAGUAUACGGGCCUUUCGAGCCCGUGACCCGGGUUCAAAUCCCGGCCGCGGCA
This 89-nucleotide transfer RNA is filed under the name Sulfodiicoccus acidiphilus. It matches the Rfam family "tRNA". Rfam says of the family: Transfer RNA (tRNA) molecules are approximately 80 nucleotides in length. Their secondary structure includes four short double-helical elements and three loops (D, anti-codon, and T loops). Further hydrogen bonds mediate the characteristic L-shaped molecular structure. tRNAs have two regions of fundamental functional importance: the anti-codon, which is responsible for specific mRNA codon recognition, and the 3' end, to which the tRNAs corresponding amino acid is attached (by aminoacyl-tRNA synthetases). tRNAs cope with the degeneracy of the genetic code in two manners: having more than one tRNA (with a specific anti-codon) for a particular amino acid; and 'wobble' base-pairing, i.e. permitting non-standard base-pairing at the 3rd anti-codon position. The record is from Rfam by way of RNAcentral. Lineage: Archaea; Thermoproteati; Thermoproteota; Thermoprotei; Sulfolobales; Sulfolobaceae.